AUACGGAGGGUGCGAGCGUUGUUCGGAUUUAUUGGGCGUAAAGAGCGCGUAGGCGGCUUGGUAAGUCAGAUGUGAAAGCCCGGGGCCCAACCCCGGAAGUGCAUUUGAAACUAUCAGGCUUGAGUAUGGGAGAGGGAAGUGGAAUUCCUGGUGUAGAGGUGAAAUUCGUAGAUAUCAGGAGGAACACCGGUGGCGAAGGCGACUUCCUGGACCAAUACUGACGCUGAGGCGCGAAGGCGUGGGGAGCAAACAGGAUUAGAAACCCCAGUAGUCC
Molecule: ribosomal RNA, 274 nt
Filed under: uncultured bacterium
Lineage: Bacteria
Description: partial 16S ribosomal RNA
Rfam family: Bacterial small subunit ribosomal RNA
Source: RNAcentral